Molecule: ribosomal RNA, 37 nt
Filed under: Clusia hilariana
Lineage: Eukaryota; Viridiplantae; Streptophyta; Magnoliopsida; Malpighiales; Clusiaceae
Description: partial 26S ribosomal RNA
Source: RNAcentral
GCGACCCCAGGUCAGCGGGACUACCCGCUGAGUUUAA